Molecule: ribosomal RNA, 397 nt
Filed under: uncultured bacterium
Lineage: Bacteria
Description: partial 16S ribosomal RNA
Rfam family: Bacterial small subunit ribosomal RNA
Source: RNAcentral
AUACGUAGGGGGCGAGCGUUGUCCGGAAUGAUUGGGCGUAAAGGGCGCGUAGGCGGCGCGGUAAGUCUGGAGUGAAAGUCCUGCUUUCAAGGUGGGAAUUGCUUUGGAUACUGCCGCGCUUGAGUGCAGGAGAGGUUAUCGGAAUUCCCGGUGUAGCGGUGAAAUGCGUAGAGAUCGGGAGGAACACCAGUGGCGAAGGCGGGUAACUGGACUGCAACUGACGCUGAGGCGCGAAAGUGUGGGGAGCAAACAGGAUUAGAUACCCUGGUAGUCCACACUGUAAACGAUGAAUGCUAGGUGUAAGAGGUAUCGACCCCUUUUGCGCCGGAGUCAACACAAUAAGCAUUCCGCCUGGGGAGUACGGCCGCAAGGUUGAAACUCAAAUGAAUCGACGGGG